Molecule: long non-coding RNA, 13808 nt
Filed under: Citrus sinensis (sweet orange)
Lineage: Eukaryota; Viridiplantae; Streptophyta; Magnoliopsida; Sapindales; Rutaceae
Description: long non-coding RNA (CSIN_LNC000623)
Source: RNAcentral
UUCGGAGUACGGGGACCAAAAUGCGGAGGAAAAUGUGGCUGCAAAAUAUGAAGAUCAAGCUGAUUGUUUUGGGAAUACUGAUUGCCUUGAUCCUCAUCAUAGUCCUCUCUGUUUGCCAUGGUUUCAACUGCGGAAAAUGAGUGCUAUUCUCCAGGAGGCUUAUAUUACGCUCUUCUAAGAGCUUCUGUGAUGAUAUUGUGAAAGAGAUAUAUAAAUAUAUAUGAUCUUGACUUUGUAUUUAGUCUAAAAAAGUUAGCAGUUUCCCUAUAUUUGUUACAAAGAAAACCGAAAACUUAUUUUUGCUUGUGAAUGAGUCCCGUCAUUAUAUUGUGAGAAUACUUGUGCAAAGAUGCUGCUGCUGAUUAUACCGGCCAGAACUAAAAUAGGCCUUCUUAGCUAGCUUCGAAUUUGCUGAAUUUGUGUGGAAGUAGCUUUAACUUUCCCAGUAUUCUAAACUUUCCCAGAUCGGGCGCCAGCGCCACAUAGUUCUGUGAUGGGUGACAUUGUUAAAUCUCUAUUCAGUAAAGUAUCGAUUACAUUAUUAGGUAACGUGUAUAAAUACGUGGUAUAAAGUAUAUGAUCGAUUCUAGACCUUUGGCAGUGAGAGUGUACUACAUUCAGUAAAGUAGCAGAAAAUGAAUUUUGCCAAAGCUAUCAGAAGAAACACGAGGAUUGUACAUUGCAAGUAAUUCUUGCCAAACAAAACUGAUGUUCUUGUCGCGAAGAACAAAGCUAAAUCACAGGACGUGAUGACUACUGACUAGCACAACAUGAGCUCCAAAACCUUCAGUAGUAGCGUUGUUAUAUACAGCUAGAUACUAAUAGGUUUCACACUUCUGAAGGAUGCAACGCAACACAAAUACAGCGAUGAUUUAAGUUUAGGCACAUUACCAUACUUAUCUUUAUCAUAAUCAUAAUAAAAUUUAAGAUAAACUUCUCCUAGGCUUGAAUAAACAAUGUUGAUCAUCAUCAAUAACAUCACCAACAUUCCAACGCACCCUUUUACCCCCUCUACACACCCCAUUUCUCAAAUCCACCCCAAAUCCAACCCCAUUGUUUCCUUUCACCCCAAUCUUGAACCUCACUUUCUCCCUCUCUUUUGCCAAAUCUCCACCCAAAACUUCCCACUUGUAUCCUCCAAAAGUAAACCUUUCUCCUUCAGGAAAUUCUGAGUUCUCCCACAACUUUUCACUUCUGUUGCAAACCGGUCCCUGGCAUUCCUUAUUGUAACUUCUCUCGUCAGGAAAUGCUGGCAACCAUUUUGGGAUAUGCAAAUGCAAGCUUCUUGAGCCCCGGUCAUUCUCUUUCUUGCAGCAAACCGAAUUUGCAUGCGCAUUUUUGCUUCGGGGAAUGGGUUUCGCAAAUGGGAUUUCACAACCGUGCCUAACAAAACCGGCAAUCUCUUUUAAAACCCCAGAAUCCAACAUGCAGUUUCGGUUAAGAGCUGACGCACCAGGAAAGCCUUGACCAGACGACACGUCGUUUAGGGCGUUUGUGAGGUCUACGAGGUUGGAUUCGCUGCGGUGGGCCACAUGGGAAUACGAUGCGGCCCUACUGGCCAGCUGUUGAAGAUACUUGGCGGCCACCAACGUUAGGGUUUCGAGGGCUGAGCUUUCCGCCGCCUUGAACCCAACGGAACGGCAGAUCUGAGACACCGCAACUUUUGUGACGGUGAAUGCGAACUCCGAAGGGGUUUCUUCUCCUUGUUCUGUUGGUGGCUUUUGAUUUUGUUUUUGGUGUUUUUUCGUUUUUGUUUUCUGGGAUUUCAUCGUUAGUGUAUCGGAGCAGAGACUACUCUUUUAAGCAGAGCCGCCCCAAUCGAAUUUGAUUUUUAAUGGCUUCCUUCUAAAUUGGGGGGCUUUUCCGUAAUAUAAUUUUAUUUUUGUUUUUCUUCUUCGAAUUUAAUUCAGGAGAAAAGUUUGAUGCGUGCGUGUUGGGCUUUGAACCCGCGCUCACAAAUGGCAGAAACUGAGGAAAUCCUGGUCUGAAGCCUGCCACUGAGCUAGUCACAUUGGUUGUAUGACUAUUGUUCGCUAUUUUUAUUUAUUUUUUAAUCGGCAAUAUUAAUACAUACCAAAUAUUUUUAAAAAAGUACGAUACAAAUUUCAUAUUCCGAUUUUUGUAAUUUUAGUAUUUACUAAAGUAAAAUCUUUAAAAUUAUACAUUUUAAGUCUCAUAUUAUGAGGGAUAAAGUGCCAUUUGAUAAGGUUCUUUUAAAAAUCAUUUUGAAAAAAAAUAAAAAUAAAAGAUUUCGCUUAACCACAUUCAUCAGUUUUUUUUUUUUUUAAUGAUUGGAACUUUUAACACCCAUUUUAAAUCUUCAUAACAUUUUUUUUUUUAACUACUCCAGUUUUAUUUAGAAAAAUAUAAAUCUAUAUGUUAAAAAAGAUUAUUUUCCUUUUACUGCUUAAGAUAUUGUAAAAUAACGAAUAGGUGUAAUAAAUAAUGAAAUAACAAAUAAGUGUAAUAAGUAUUGCAACAUAAUAUAAAUAUAAAUAUAAAUUACGAAAUAGGGUAGUGUAAAAAAAAAUAAUGUGUUUGAGUAUUCAACUGAAUUUCUAUUAAAAAUCAUUUAUUUAAGUGUUCAGUUGAAUUUGCAUUCAAAAUAAUAAAUGAAUUAAAUUUUUUUUUUUUUUUUCAUAGUUAGGUGAUUUUCAAUUUUUUGCGGUCUCCAAAGGCUUACUCUUUCUUAAUGCCUCAGGUCUCUCCGUGCUUGAAGCCCACACGUGACAGGUGCCUAAAUCUUGUAAGGUUUCGAUUCUCUGGGCUAAUAAAUUUGCUUUCAAAAUUAAUAAAUGGGCUCAACCCAACUCAAUAUAUAUAUUCAUUGAUCCAUUUGAUCUUCUUCCAAGUCCACUACAUGUUCCGAGUGGUCUAAUUCCGUUUCAUAUAAUAUUUUCUCAGCUUCUGUUUCUAAGAAAUAAAUCAUCAAAAUUUUAUUAACAAAUAGAACAAAUCGCAUAAGAUAAAAUGUGGGUACAUAUUGAACAACAUCAAUUAAAGCCACUACAAAUAUAUAAUUGGUGCUUCACCCAAGGGACCAUUACUCAUGAUUCAUGAAAGUGAUCUCAUUCUUUGUCGCAGUUCAAGAUCUAUAUCAUAUUAUACGUGACAAAUAAUUCAUGAAACUACUCUAUUUGUCCAUAAAUAGCAUACAAACCCCAGAUAAUGGCCAAAAAUCUUCUUAAAUGAUAACCCCCAUUUCAAUUCUUCAUGUUGCCUUCAAGAAAAUAUAGCUGGAUUGAAGAUAAGAAUGUUCGAGUCAUUGCUUGACAACCAAUGGUUUCUUUAUGCACAUCCUUUGAAUUAUCUUUCAUAAAAAAAAAAAAAAAAAUGUAGGGACAGAAUCGUUAAUUAUUCAUCACCACAAAUUUUUAUUAUUAAAAGGUGGGGUGUUGUUUUAAGUACAUAAAUUUAAGAGAGAAAGAAUUCAAACACCGGUUGCACGUAUCUUUCAUGCCAUGAAAAUGUGUAUAAAUACUUUUUUUUUUAAAAAAAAAAAAAAAGAUAAAUAUAAGCCAUCUAAAGUUACAGUCGAAUAAAAUAGUAAUAAUUUGGUUUGUCUAAAAAAAAUAGUAGGUCGGCGGUCAAGUCAGCGUGGAUGGAGGGUGAUUAACGCAUUCGUCGUGAUCUACUAAUUACAAAUUUUAAUUAAAUUAAUGGUAACACAUUUCCAGAAUUAUAGUUAUUCUUUAGGCAUGAUUGAGGCUUUGCGAAAGAUUACUUAAAAAGAAGCAGCCAAUUAGCUAGCUAGAUGCUUCUCUUAAGCAAAGAUUCUCAAUCCAAAGCAAAAAAAAUCAGCAAUUAUUUUAAUCUUAGAUUAGGGUUCACUUCGUUUCAUUAAUUAAAAUAAUAAUCUAACGGUUGUGCAAAUGAUGGCAUGUGUGCAAUGGGAUUAGGUUUAGAGAAUUAAUUUACUAACGCCGGCUUAUAUGAUAAUUAAUCAUGCAUGUGAUUAUUAGGCUAUAUAAUAUAUAUAUAUAUACGCUGAAACAAAUUACGUAGUCAAAUAGGGUAUUAAUUGCGUAUUUGCAUGUGAAAAUGAUAUUAAGAAAACGAGGAGCGAAUUACCAAAAAAAAUGUUGAUUUCCGAUACAUUCUUAGCCUUGACUCUUAACCAUUAAGAAAUAAUUGAAGUCGUGUCUAUGACAACGUUUAAUCAUUAUAUUUUUAUACGCCAACUUAUGUUGUCAAUUAUUUUGUAGAUAUUUCAUGUUUUGAAUUCAGGUAUAUAUUUGAAUUUUGGUUCACCAAACCUGUUGGAUGUGGGAAAAAAAAAUAAAAUUGACUCCUCUAGAAGGCUAGACCAUUUGAUGACCCAGUAAAUUAGAUGCCUCUUAUGAUCAACUCUAGUAUCCUUUGAAUUUUCUUUGUAUAACGAACCUUAUCUUUCAAAAAUUGCGUGCUUACAUACAUUUGUAGACAUUGUUCUUGAUCAACAUCACCUGAAAGACCCCAGUGGAUUAUUAUUAUAAGUUUGUAGUCAGUUCAAAAGUCUCUUUCUAAAUUCCAAGUGUUGAGUUUUGUGCUUGUAAGAUAAUUCGAUGGUAGCAUUUUUAUUUAUUAGCUUUUGGAGCUUAUCAAGAAUAUUUGUGCUCUCAAAAGAUGAAUCAUCCUGGAAUUUAGAAAUUUAUUUUCUAUUCUAAAUCAUCACUUGAUUUGAAAAUAAAAACCCGUGUUUCAGCUUCUCCACUUGGUUUACAAAUAUGAAGAUUACAUUCUGUGUUUUCCAAUGAUAGCGACAGGAAACCCUAGUUAGGUUUUAUAAUUACAAUCCAGAAUAUUAUGCCAGCAACUACUACUUGUUUGUUCUUGAUUAUUGAUUCCUUCUUUCUAGGCUUUGUUUCAACUUGUAAGAAAAGAAAACCUGCCAAUAUCAAACUUGAAUAUAGUAAAAUUUGAAAGAAUGCUCAAAAAGUUGAUUAGGUGACUAAUUAAAUGCUUAUCAAAAUCUUGCAUAAUUUAAAUAAUCAGAUGAUGUCAGAAAUGAUACCAUUAGAAUUUUGCACAAAAUCUGCUAUCAAAUCAUGGUAAUCCAGCAGCCUCUAGAGGAUAAGCUAGUCUAAUAAGUUUAGAACAAUGAUAGGUCAGAUAGCAAUAUUUCUUUUGUAUUGUUUCUCCAGUGACCAGAACUAUAAUUGCACUUUGAACUUUUGUUUGUCAUUACUCAUUUCUGCUUAUGCAUUAUUUCUUAUUAUGAUAGCAAUGUGUGACUUUACUGUGGCAGCUUUUUCGGAUGCUCCAUGCGAUACAUGUCAAAAGCUUAAAUUUAGUGCAACUGGAGGAAAAAUGUACGAUUAGUUAAUUUGAUAAAUUUCAUCUGAAUCACAUUCACUUUUAUCCGGGGAAAUCUACAAGAAAUCUGCCAGUUAAUACUGAAUUUACCAGAACUCUUUUCCUCAUUCAAUAAUAUCACCAAUAAUUUUGCCUGUCAGUUUCCAGGGUUUCCUGUUUCUGCUGCACAUACUAUUUGGUGCUGUGCUGCCACACGCUAGCUAGCUAUAGAGUUAUUUUAUUUGGUAUUGCUCACAAAUUAAUCACUUCCAUACCUUGGCAAAAGCACUUCUAUCUUCUAAGAUAUUUUAGCUCUUCAAUGAAGUCCUGUGCUGCUGUCUAGACUCUAGUGUCGACAGAAUAGGGUUUGGUGGUUUUGGGAGAUUAGUGGAAAAAACGACUAGAUAAGUGCCUUUGGAGUCAUCAAACGCAAAGUGCCCUCCUACAAGCAAAAGGGUUUAAUUUUUAUAAUGUUUAACAUGGGGUAUUUUAUUCAUUUCUAAAAGAAUCUAAUAAGUAGAUUUUUCUUAACCAUCACUUGCAUGCUAACUUAUAAAAGUCAAUAAAUUGCAAAAAUAUUUACUUAACUCUUAAAAUAGUUCAUACAUAAAAUAAUUAUUAAUAAUUUAGGUGGGAAGUCAUGUUACGCACAUGUUUUGGAUAAUGCUUGUUUUAUGCAAUUCUAUUUGUAUACGGCUUUAAAAAACUUGGUCUAUACGUGAAAUAAUAAAGAGUCCCUCAAUUUGAGCUAAGACUUAAGAGAUGAAACAAGGUUUAACAAAAGCAAGAUAAAACUACUCAACUCUUGCGAGACAUAAACCAAAAUGUAUCAACAUCAAAUACAAGACUGAAAGCUGGAAAAUGGUCCACAAUUAUGUAACAUUAUUGUUGAUGAUAAAGAUAUAUACAUACGUGAGAAAAGACAACACUUAGGGUUCGAGCCAACAACAGGUGCACAACUAAUUUAUCGUGUAUGCAAAGCAGCCUCCAAAAAAGAAUUAAAUUCUAAUGGAAUUGACAAUGCCAAGUCGUAUUCAAUUGGGUUCCCGUUCAUUGUCUCUAAGCCUAUUUAUUGACAAUUUUACUCAAAAUCGAUAGGUGAAUUUUUGUCAAUUGCUGAAAGUUUUGUGUGAAUGAGAUUCUGUGUUGAAAUCCGAAAGUUGAUGGAAGCUAGUGCCCUCGGGUUGUUGUUUGAUGAACAAUUAAAUAAAGCUAUCUAUAUUUUAUGGCCGAAAGUAAUUGAUUUCGGUGUGUGAAAACGAAAUAGGAUUCUCAAGCUGUCUUUUCUUUCAUGUUCAUGUCUUGACGAUUUGUACGAGUUGUCUUUCCUGGCAAUAUCAUCAGAAACAAUAGUUUUCACUUUUCAACUAACAUUCGCUAAAUAUAGACCGUCAAUGGAGCUGGUUAAUUUAUCCCCCGAUGCUUCUGAAAUGAAUAAUUCUUUUUUACCUUUUUUGGACAAAAUAUACCUAGGAUAUACGUAAUUCUGUGUCACCGCAAUCAAAAUUCUGUUCUUUAUUUUAAUUAGCUUCCUCUUCUAGUUUAGUAAGCUCAGAUGAUAUGGAGAUUGGUAUGUAAUAUAGUCAGGUAAGACAUCUUUUGAUAAGUGAAACCGGACAAAUGGUGCAUAUAAUGUGUCAUUCAUUUUGAAGUUACUGACAAGAGGAACAACACUCUUGAUAUGCCUCGACUUUCGUCAAAUUUUUUGUCAAAUUUCAUCAUUUCUGAUCUCAGAAUAGAGUUUGAAGUCGCUUUUGUGAUACUAAAAAACUUAUAGAUAUUGUCUUUUUUUUUUUAAUUAUGGAAUUUUCAAAUUUAUAUAUCAUUUGCUUUCCUUUAAGGACGUAUAUUGUAUUUUAAAUAAUGUGGCAUUAAUAAGUAUAUACUAAACUCUUCUUAUCUAAGUAGUAUGUAUUGGUGUCACAAAAGUAGGAAAUUCAAUUUUUGUAUCCUAACUUUCUAAAUAUAUCACUAAUUCUUUUUCAUCUCUUGCUUUCAUUUUGUCUUGAUUCCUGAUGUUUUGAAGUUUUUUACACUAAUAAGAGAUUACACAAAAGCAAAUAGUGAAAAAAAAUAUUUUUUUUAAAAAGUAAUCAAAUGGGCCCUGGGACGCUUUCAAUUAACCAAUCCUUACACGCCACCGAUGCCAGUCACCUCAAAUUGUUAAAAAAAAUUGUACAAUAAUUUGUAAAUGUACAUCAUUAUUUUUUUUAUAUUAUUUAAAAAAAUAGACUCCCCACAAUUUGAAGUCAAUUGAUUAACUAAAUAAAACUACUAGUCUACAUUAGAUGUAUUAUAUAUACGAUUAAGCAGUGACGAAAAUUGUUUAACAUUAUCAUCAUCAAAUGGGGGAUUUGUUGGCAAAGCAUCAUACAGUGAUAAUUUUAUAUUAAUCAAAGCAAUGAGCAAGAUCUUAGGCGGCGCCAUUCAUAGAAAAAAAUAGUAGUGGUGUCAAAUCAUUUGAUCUCAACAAGAGACCUAAUUUUACUCUAAUUGGACGUGUUAUCAUUUUACUUGGUUUAAUAAUCACAACUUAAGAACAUGUAUGAAAUUUAAGGUUUUUGGUGGGACCCAAUUGCUCCCUUUUCUUUCUUUCACUCUUUUUUUUUUUUAAUUUUUUUUUUUAAAUUGCAUUAGUGAAGAAAGCAGAAGCACUUUAUCAAUGACUUCCAUUUAACCAUCAUUUAGCUACCCACCUUAAAGUGAUUCUGCUUCAUCUCAUGCUCACAAGAUUACAUUUCCAUUAUACAAAUUUGUAAAAAGAGUUGGGAUAUUGAUCAAUAUGUAAUAUACUGCUCACGAGCCAACCUAAAAGAUCAAUAAAGUUGGAUUUGAGUUCACUUUUUUUUUUUUUUUUUAAAUGGUGGUUCCCACUUUUUAAAGAGCUUUUGAAUCAUCAUAAAUGUAGGAUAUUCCCAGUGGUUGGCACAUAAAACCAACCUUUGAAUUGAAGAUAUCAAAAAUGGAAAAUCAAAGUGACUGGCUAGUGGCCAUUAAUGCUAGAAACUCCACUUCUGAAAAAUGAAGUAUGCUGUCUGCAUUUUCUAGGGUUUCCAAAUGGAAAGUUCCGGGAAAUAUAUUUUACUCAAAUCUUUAUUCCGAUCAAUUGAGACAAAAAAUAAAGAAAAUAAUAAUGCCCCUAAAAUUUGACCCAUUAAUUACAGCUAGCAUGCAUAGCAAAGAGAUUGAUUGAAGUGUCUAGCGAAUAUAAAGAUGAAAUUCUGACUUAAUCAUAAUGAAAGUGUGCAUGUUCACAUUGUACGCAAAGCAUAUGCAAAAGCGAAAUACAAAGUUGUUUUUUUCCUUGGCGGAGGACAAAUUUGCUGAAGUUUCCAAGCAUAUCUUCUUACCUUUUUUUUUUUUUUUUUUUAAUGUUAUUUAUGAGUGGUACCACAAGUUAAUAAUUUAGAAAAUGCAGCCAUCGUGCAAACCAACUUUCAUCAUAUUCACGAGUUAUAUAUAUAUAUGCUUUGCAGGCAUCACUAUCAAAACAGUGCAAUUAUCUCAAAUUAUUCGAUCUGGGAUCGAUGGCAAAUUAAAUUAAAUUAGCAUUUAGCUAUAUAUAUACAUUUCUGCUUUUGUCGUUUGGUUUUCUUACUUUUGUCAUCUUUUUGAGUGAAUGAGAAAGUACUUAAAGUUUAAUGUAUAAGUUUAAAGAGUUGGGCAAGCACAAUGGGGGAUUUGAUGGAAGCAAAAGCAAUAGCAGAGAGAGUGAAUGGUGGAUGUGGGAAUCAAGCCCAUCUGUCCAUCGCUAUAUUACAUUUAUUUGAUAUCUUUUCUUGUGCACAAACUUUUUUAUUUUUCUUUAUCUUUUUCUUUUUCACUUUUGGAGGAAUAAAAUUUAACACCAUUUUUAGAUAGUUCUGAACAUAUGAGUGGGUCGAUUGUUCCAUAUCCAUCCAAUUUGGUCAAUAAAAAAUAUAUAUAUAUGAUAAUAAUGGUUACUAAGAUAUGGCCAUCAAUUCAAUAUAGUGUGGGGGGACCAAAUUAAAGUGUACAUAUAUCCAAGCUUGGUUGUUGAGGAAUUUGGAUGUGUAUAAUUUACUGGGUUAAUUUUUCUUUUAUUACUGACAUUUUCGCUAUGGCUAUACGAAAUUAAGAUUAUAAGAAAGAUAAUGAAAUCUAUGAUAACCUCUCCAUACCAAAAAAAAAAAAAAAAAAAAUUCUACAAACCUGAUCGGAACCAUAGUCCACAAAAAGAUUUAACACCAAAUUUCCAGCGUUCCCAUUCCUUUAAUUUUGGCACAUUCACGCGGCAGAGUGCCAGAAAAUAUAAGUUUAUUUUGUGAAUAUAUGCAUUCAAAUAUCGCUGGCAAAAAUGCAGCCGGUUAAGGGAACUCUGUCAUCUAAAAAUAUCAACACCACCAUUUCGUUUUGGGUUAGUUUUACCCAUACAAGACCCAAUAUAAUGAUAUUGGCCUUAAUCAGCACCAGAUCGCUUAAACUCUUAACAACAAAGAUAAUUAAAUCUGACAGAUUAAAAAAAAAAAUCAAAAUAAGAAGCCCCGCCCGCACUGAAUGCAAAUAAUAUUAGAUAAGAGCAGAGAAUCAGAUCGGACCAUCGGUCACCCACUUGUCCGUACACAGACACCCCGGUUUAAAUAAGGAGACAAACGUCAUCAAAAGCAGGGAAACCGCAAUAAAACAGUCAUGGGCCCCACGUUCCCCUCCCUUCCUCCAAUGGGGUCCACUAACAUGGGGCAGCUUAACAACACCACCACCACCACCGUCAACAGACAACAGUAGGUUCAUUUCAUUUCAUCAUCAAUUCGAUUUUUAUUCUCCCAAAACGUUUCUGUAAAAAAAAAUAAAUAAAAAAAAAGAAAAGAAAAGAAAAAAUUCUGCCCCAACAAGCAAGCACACCUCACACGAGCGUAAACUGGGGCCCUCGCUCGACGGCCACGUUCGCGACGGACCAUUCUCUUUCUUUCCUUACACCUCAGGCUCCGAGUGGUCGCUGUUGGACUGUGGCAUCUUGACACCAUGCAGUUGAUACGUGGAGGAUAUGCCGAGAGUCGGUUAAUUAAAUCCCCGCCUUAUUUUCACAAAAAUAAAGCAGGGGAAUCAGUGAAAUGGCUUGACUGCCCUUGCAGGUUUGUCGUUAUUUCCGAAAAAACCGAAACGAAAGUCGAGAAGAAAAUGGAAAAUAAAAUUUGGGGUGAGGAUAAUUAAUUUAUUAUUUAAAUCAAAUCAAAUCCAAUCUACUUUCCAUGUUUUUGCUAAAAGUUAUGAAUUAAAUAAAGAUUCUCUCUCCAUAAGUCUUUGACUUUAUCUCUCCUCUCAAAUAAAACCAAAGCCUAAAUAAACCCACAAAUUCCAUUCAUCGAAACUUCCCCCACACUGCCACCCUCUCUUAUUUUGCAUGCUCUCGGCUCUCCUCUUUUUAACUCUUCAUCUCCUUUUCGUUCUCUCUUCUCUUUCAACCAAAGCCUUAACAAAGCACACCAAAACCAAAAAAUCGCAUUUUUUUUUCUUUUCAUCUUCAAAUAUGGCGGUUGAAGCUAGACGCAUAGACCUUCUCCCUUCGCAAUUAAUCUCACACAGGUAUUAAUAUUUUUUAUAUAUUUUACUACCGAAAAAUUAAAAAUAAAACUAUGUUUUUUUUUUUUUUUAAUUCUUUUCCGUUGUGUUAGAUGAAUCAGUUUCUUAUGUGUGGGUCGGGUUAUUUGUUAUUUGCAGAGAUUUUAUCAAAUCAAAUCAAGUAAACGCCAAUACCCAGAUGGAUUCUUUCUUUCCUUUUGCUGAACCAAUGCCUGAACAAACUAUGUUACCAUUCUAUCAAGCCUUCGAUUGCAAUCCGAUUUCUACUAAAACGUCAAUGGACAAAGCUGAUAGCGGGCUCACGUACAAUAUUCCCGCACCAAGAAAGCGCCAAAGAGAUUCAAUCAACGAUCUUGAUGCCUUCUCCCUUGUCUCUCAAAAGCAAAAGCUCUCUGGCUUCUCGUCUUUACUUGAUCAAGACAUCAUCUUUCGGUUGCAACAACAGCAGUCCGAAAUCGACCGUUACAUUGCCCAACAUGUAAGCAAAGCAAUCAUCUUUGUUUCUGAAGUUCCUUUAUUCCCUUCAUGCUCUCGUUUUAUGUUCAAUUUUUCUUUUCGGGUGUGUUAAUUUAAUAAUGCUUCAUUAACAGACGGAGAAAGUGAUAUUGGAACUUGAAGAACAGAGGAAGAGGCAAUCAAGAAUGUUAAUAUCAGCAAUCCAAGAAGGAGUGGCCAAUAAGUUAAAGGAAAAGGACGAAGAGAUUCAUAGAAUGAGGAAACUCAACUGGGUUCUUCAAGAAAGAGUAAAAAGUUUAUUUGUGGAGAAUCAAAUAUGGAGGGACUUGGCGCAAACCAACGAGGCCACAGCCAACACUCUACGUAGCAAUCUCGAACAGGUCUUGGCACACGUGGGGGGCGAAGGCGAUGACUGUGCUGGUGGUGGUGCCACGCUGGCAGCUGCGGCGGAGGAUGAUGCGGAGUCGAGCUGCGGGAGCAGUGAUUUUGGGAGGAGCACGAUAGCAGGGGAGGGUGCGCAGGAUAAGGCGGUUGGUGGUGGUAGGAUGUUGUGCCGACGGUGUGGGGAGAAGGAGUCGAGCGUGUUGCUGCUGCCAUGCCGGCACUUGUGUUUGUGUACAGUUUGUGGGUCCUGUCUUAUUGGUUCCUGUCCGGUUUGUAACUUUGUAGUGGAUGCCAGUCUCCAUGUUAACUUGUCUUAAUUAAUUACAAUCAGAAAAGAAAAAAAAAUGAACAGCUAUUGAAAAAAAAAUUAUUCAGGAAAUAUAGAAUUUUUUUUUUAAUUGGUUUUUGUUUCGCUUAUUGCUUAUCUUUGUUUAAUCGGCAUUUUUCUCUUAUCUUGGGAGUGUUUUAGUAAUUUUUGAAAAAUUAGAAAUGGUCCGAAGGUAAAAUUUGGAAAUAAAAUUGACCUUAGAUAAAAAGGGCGGAAAUGGGUCACGAGAUUGCAAAAUUGGAAUAGCAUUUUUGUUGUUCAUCUGAAUGGAGGAGACUGAGGGGGCGCAUUCAAUCACUCUCUUUGCAUUUUCUUGGCAAUGGGGCUAGCACUUGUUUGCUUCUAUUUAAUGGUAAAGCAGGAAAGGUUAGAAAUUUUAAUAAAAUAAAAAAAAAAAAGAGGAAAAUGAUGGUGGUGACUGUGAACGGCAUCAUUGCCACCGAUCCUUGGAAUCAACAGAAAUUGCACACUAGCCUUAGAGAGAGGAAUUGUGUUACUGGCCCACUUAUGACAAGAUCCAGAGAUCUGUUCGUGGAAUCAUUUAUUAUUUCUUUUUUUCACUCUGCUUUAUCCGUUUAAAUUUCUAGGACUCAAUCAUGCAAUUUUCUUUUUCAAGUGGUCUUCUUUGUCAUUAAAAAAAAAGGGGGGGAGAAGCCUGAUUUCUUAUUUGUACUUGUUCCCAUAUUGAAUAUUUUAUUCAAACCCCCCACAUUCAAUCCCCACUAUCAAGUUUUCAAUUCAAAUCCGUUGUUAUUAGAGUAUUUUAUUUUGCAUUAAAAAGAUUAAUUUAAACGACGUAGUUUUAAGUUAGGACGACCAAGAAAAAAAAGUUCGACUCAAAAAUUUAAAAAAAAUAAAUAUAUAACAAUAAUAACAAUGAAAGGGUAAGCUAGCUAGAAAGAAGAGCAUUAAAACCUGGGCAUGUGCCAAGUGGCAAAGACGACCUGAUACGUCAGACUGAAACUCAGUGCGGGGUCCACCACGUGUUGUUCCUCUGCAACCCCAACUGCAGCACUGCAGUGUGUGCAUGGCGUUUUAUAUAAUUACAACCUUGCGUUCCUGUUGAAAAAGAAGAAACAAAUGCUACGCAGCGUUAAAUACAAGGCAAACAAAAAUUAAUUUUAUUUAUUUAUUUUUGGUUAAAAAAUGGCUAAAGAUAAAGAUUAUGAGAGCAGUACGAAAAAGGUCAAGCCAACUGCCUAAUUACCACUCAUACUAACCGUACGUUGCACCUACUCGUACACACUCAUAACAUGCGUGCUGCAGAUGCAACUUGUCAGUGGGGUGUCAAAAGCAAAAGCAUAAUUAUUAUUGUCUUUUACUUUCUAUUUUCCCCCAAAAAAUCAGAUGAUUUUAGAAAUUAGAGAUCGAUUUUUUAUUUUUUUUUUCACGUUUACGCCCAAGCCAAUGUGCUAGACUCUUAUGGCUUCUUGCUCUUGAUGCACUAUCAUAACUUUGUAUAGUAAUUUUGUAAUCAAUACUCAAUAUAAAUUUUGAAAACGAUGCGUUGCCCAAAUGUACAGGCCUCAAUUGAAUGCGCGGUACUGUGUUCGCAGUUGAAGUGACGGUGUGGGGGAGGUGAACCAAACACAAUAAGAAAAAUAAAAUAGGGACCCUAAAAUUCCGCCGACGUCGUGCUGCACAAGGCGUACGCUCGCCCGUUCGUUCAACAUCAUCAUUAUUAUUAUCAUUUGUUUUUUUUACAUAAAAUUAAUUAAAUAAUCAGGUGGCUAAAUUGGGCAGAAAUUUUGGAUGGUACAAAGCCGACAAAAACCAGAGCGUUAAAGUUGUAAGAACACGAGAAAAUGAAAAAAAAAAACAAUAA